Molecule: ribosomal RNA, 3283 nt
Filed under: Drosophila melanogaster (fruit fly)
Lineage: Eukaryota; Metazoa; Arthropoda; Insecta; Diptera; Drosophilidae
Description: eukaryotic LSU rRNA
Rfam family: Eukaryotic large subunit ribosomal RNA (bases 573-3283)
Source: RNAcentral
ACUCUAAGCGGUGGAUCACUCGGCUCAUGGGUCGAUGAAGAACGCAGCAAACUGUGCGUCAUCGUGUGAACUGCAGGACACAUGAACAUCGACAUUUUGAACGCAUAUCGCAGUCCAUGCUGUUAUGUACUUUAAUUAAUUUUAUAGUGCUGCUUGGACUACAUAUGGUUGAGGGUUGUAAGACUAUGCUAAUUAAGUUGCUUAUAAAUUUUUAUAAGCAUAUGGUAUAUUAUUGGAUAAAUAUAAUAAUUUUUAUUCAUAAUAUUAAAAAAUAAAUGAAAAACAUUAUCUCACAUUUGAAUGUGAAAAACGAAGAGAAAUAUUUUCUUUUUCAAUCAAAUAAUACUGAGAAAUGUCUAGCAUAAAAAAUUGAAAUAUUUUUCAUCUAGAAUUGUCUCUUAUUAAUGAUUCGGAAAUAGAAAAAUCUUGGUUAUGUUAUUAUUCUUCGUUGGUUCGUUAAAAAUGGAUAAAUAAAAACUUUGCAUACAAGAAUUAAUAAAAAUGUUAUAACGAAUUUAAUUAAAUGUUUUAUCAUUAUAUAUAAAGAAUUUAUGGCAAGAUAAAGUUAUAUACAACCUCAACUCAUAUGGGACUACCCCCUGAAUUUAAGCAUAUUAAUUAGGGGAGGAAAAGAAACUAACAAGGAUUUUCUUAGUAGCGGCGAGCGAAAAGAAAACAGUUCAGCACUAAGUCACUUUGUCUAUAUGGCAAAUGUGAGAUGCAGUGUAUGGAGCGUCAAUAUUCUAGUAUGAGAAAUUAACGAUUUAAGUCCUUCUUAAAUGAGGCCAUUUACCCAUAGAGGGUGCCAGGCCCGUAUAACGUUAAUGAUUACUAGAUGAUGUUUCCAAAGAGUCGUGUUGCUUGAUAGUGCAGCACUAAGUGGGUGGUAAACUCCAUCUAAAACUAAAUAUAACCAUGAGACCGAUAGUAAACAAGUACCGUGAGGGAAAGUUGAAAAGAACUCUGAAUAGAGAGUUAAACAGUACGUGAAACUGCUUAGAGGUUAAGCCCGAUGAACCUGAAUAUCCGUUAUGGAAAAUUCAUCAUUAAAAUUGUAAUAUUUAAAUAAUAUUAUGAGAAUAGUGUGCAUUUUUUCCAUAUAAGGACAUUGUAAUCUAUUAGCAUAUACCAAAUUUAUCAUAAAAUAUAACUUAUAGUUUAUUCCAAUUAAAUUGCUUGCAUUUUAACACAGAAUAAAUGUUAUUAAUUUGAUAAAGUGCUGAUAGAUUUAUAUGAUUACAGUGCGUUAAUUUUUCGGAAUUAUAUAAUGGCAUAAUUAUCAUUGAUUUUUGUGUUUAUUAUAUGCACUUGUAUGAUUAACAAUGCGAAAGAUUCAGGAUACCUUCGGGACCCGUCUUGAAACACGGACCAAGGAGUCUAACAUAUGUGCAAGUUAUUGGGAUAUAAACCUAAUAGCGUAAUUAACUUGACUAAUAAUGGGAUUAGUUUUUUAGCUAUUUAUAGCUAAUUAACACAAUCCCGGGGCGUUCUAUAUAGUUAUGUAUAAUGUAUAUUUAUAUUAUUUAUGCCUCUAACUGGAACGUACCUUGAGCAUAUAUGCUGUGACCCGAAAGAUGGUGAACUAUACUUGAUCAGGUUGAAGUCAGGGGAAACCCUGAUGGAAGACCGAAACAGUUCUGACGUGCAAAUCGAUUGUCAGAAUUGAGUAUAGGGGCGAAAGACCAAUCGAACCAUCUAGUAGCUGGUUCCUUCCGAAGUUUCCCUCAGGAUAGCUGGUGCAUUUUAAUAUUAUAUAAAAUAAUCUUAUCUGGUAAAGCGAAUGAUUAGAGGCCUUAGGGUCGAAACGAUCUUAACCUAUUCUCAAACUUUAAAUGGGUAAGAACCUUAACUUUCUUGAUAUGAAGUUCAAGGUUAUGAUAUAAUGUGCCCAGUGGGCCACUUUUGGUAAGCAGAACUGGCGCUGUGGGAUGAACCAAACGUAAUGUUACGGUGCCCAAAUUAACAACUCAUGCAGAUACCAUGAAAGGCGUUGGUUGCUUAAAACAGCAGGACGGUGAUCAUGGAAGUCGAAAUCCGCUAAGGAGUGUGUAACAACUCACCUGCCGAAGCAACUAGCCCUUAAAAUGGAUGGCGCUUAAGUUGUAUACCUAUACAUUACCGCUAAAGUAGAUGAUUUAUAUUACUUGUGAUAUAAAUUUUGAAACUUUAGUGAGUAGGAAGGUACAAUGGUAUGCGUAGAAGUGUUUGGCGUAAGCCUGCAUGGAGCUGCCAUUGGUACAGAUCUUGGUGGUAGUAGCAAAUAAUCGAAUGAGACCUUGGAGGACUGAAGUGGAGAAGGGUUUCGUGUGAACAGUGGUUGAUCACGAGUUAGUCGGUCCUAAGUUCAAGGCGAAAGCCGAAAAUUUUCAAGUAAAACAAAAAUGCCUAACUAUAUAAACAAAGCGAAUUAUAAUACACUUGAAUAAUUUUGAACGAAAGGGAAUACGGUUCCAAUUCCGUAACCUGUUGAGUAUCCGUUUGUUAUUAAAUAUGGGCCUCGUGCUCAUCCUGGCAACAGGAACGACCAUAAAGAAGCCGUCGAGAGAUAUCGGAAGAGUUUUCUUUUCUGUUUUAUAGCCGUACUACCAUGGAAGUCUUUCGCAGAGAGAUAUGGUAGAUGGGCUAGAAGAGCAUGACAUAUACUGUUGUGUCGAUAUUUUCUCCUCGGACCUUGAAAAUUUAUGGUGGGGACACGCAAACUUCUCAACAGGCCGUACCAAUAUCCGCAGCUGGUCUCCAAGGUGAAGAGUCUCUAGUCGAUAGAAUAAUGUAGGUAAGGGAAGUCGGCAAAUUAGAUCCGUAACUUCGGGAUAAGGAUUGGCUCUGAAGAUUGAGAUAGUCGGGCUUGAUUGGGAAACAAUAACAUGGUUUAUGUGCUCGUUCUGGGUAAAUAGAGUUUCUAGCAUUUAUGUUAGUUACUUGUUCCCCGGAUAGUUUAGUUACGUAGCCAAUUGUGGAACUUUCUUGCUAAAAUUUUUAAGAAUACUAUUUGGGUUAAACCAAUUAGUUCUUAUUAAUUAUAACGAUUAUCAAUUAACAAUCAAUUCAGAACUGGCACGGACUUGGGGAAUCCGACUGUCUAAUUAAAACAAAGCAUUGUGAUGGCCCUAGCGGGUGUUGACACAAUGUGAUUUCUGCCCAGUGCUCUGAAUGUCAAAGUGAAGAAAUUCAAGUAAGCGCGGGUCAACGGCGGGAGUAACUAUGACUCUCUUAAGGUAGCCAAAUGCCUCGUCAUCUAAUUAGUGACGCGCAUGAAUGGAUUAACGAGAUUCCUACUGUCCCU